GGAUAUGUGGCUAUAUGAGAUAUAGACACCUAGCCCACUAAGUUCCACUAAUUGUUAGUGGAACAUUAGGUGUUGAGAUUUGGCAAAUGAAUUGCAUGCAUUUUUGCAUGUAAUUAGGUUAUAAAUAGAGGUGUUUUCAAAUGUUGAAGAACUUUUUCCUCUUUUAUCAUUUUUAUCAUCUCAACAAAAGAAAAAAAAUCCUUCCAAUCCCAUUUUAUCUCCAUUACUUUCUACACCAAAAUUGGGUCCCACAACCCGGUUCUUUGUCUAGAGGAUAGCAGUUAAGUACUAGUGGCGGUCUCGGUUAGAAUUGGUAAGAAGAUAUCAAACCUUUUGAAUUCUUCAAAGGUAAUAUUUCUUAAAACCCUAAUUUGAUUAGUUUAUGGUUACAUGUUAAUUGUGGCAAUUAGGGCAGAAAUUCGAUUCUUUUUCCGCUGUGCAUGACUUAGUUCUAUCAAGAACAACCUUAAAGAAAUGAAGGCUUGAAUUAAUCUACAUUAUAUUUGUGUUAGCUAUUUAAUGGAGUGUUUAUCGUGUGUCUAUCAAACAAGUCAACCAUCAACUACCUCAACUUAUAUUCUCAAAUUUUACCAUAAAUUAAAAUUAUCCACAUCAAAGUUAUUAAUAUAUAAUGGAGAAUCAUCAAGACAAGGUGAGACCAAGAGAGAUUUUGAAGAGAUGAAAUGAAAGAUUUUGAAGAGAUAAAAGAAGAUCGCGACAAUGAUAACAAAAAGAAUUCGGAUGAGUCAUAUCAAACACUACACCAAAUAUUCAUCACUCAAAAGAAUGUUGCAAAGGAAACUAAUUAAAUAAGGUCUUAUACUCACAAUUUCAUAUUUUUGGUAGCAUGAUAAUUCAUUAAUAAUUAAACAUAAUGAUAAUCAAUUAGUUAACUAAUACAACAUUUUAGGAAGCAAUAUCACUAUUGGAGAUCCAACGAGAAAGAAAUUACAAACUCGGGUCAGUCUCGACCAAAAUGAUCAUAGUGUUUGGAAUUUAGUGUUUUGUGGAAAUAUCUAACAUUUGGGCUUCCAAGGGUAAUUUUGUUAGUUGCUAAAUCCCUUUAUUUUCAAUUUUUUAAAAAAAUCCACAAUCUCGAUGUUCAUCAUGUCGAGAUAGAUCGAGAAAUUAUGUUGAACGAGUUUUUUUAAAAUUAGUAAAGAAUCUUGGUGUGAGGUCGGUCGAUAUUGACUGAGAAAAAAAAAAUGACGAGUUUUUCAAAAGUGUGAUACUUUUGAAAUAUAAAACCAAAAGUGUUUUACUUUUGUCAAUUUCCCAACUUAAAAACAUAAAUUUGAAAACAAGAUAAUAUUUUAUUUUAAAAUAAAAUAUUAUUUUAUAUUGAUAUAUAUGUAUGGUGUCACAUUAAAAAAUUUAAUUCUAAUUUAAAAAAUUGUUUAAAACAUGUUUUAUAUUAUAUAAACUAUCGUAGUUAUCCACUAGUAUUUAGUUGAUAAUAAAUUAUUAUUAUUUUAUUUUAAAUAUCUCAUAAUUAAUAAAAAAAUAUAUAUACAAAUAUAAUAAAUUGUCACAUUAAUAGACAUGUCUAUUACUAAUCACAAUGUCAUUUUGCUAUAUUUGUAAAACUUUUCACCCAACUUUUCAUCUAAAGUAAUUUUUCAAAAAAGUAAAUGAUAUAAUCAUUAUUUUGAAAUAUUAUACCAUUUAUAAUACAUUACCAAAUAUUGGUUAUAUUUUUUAAAAGUGAACUAAAUUUAUAACAUGACAUUUUCAAAUAUAACAACAUUAACAAAAAAUAUAGCAAAAUUUUAGAUCUUCCACCAAAGACACAGAUAGAUUGAUAGGAUUUGAAAUUUUAGUAUAUUUUUGUAAAUAUUUCAACAAAUUUGUCAUUUACAACAAUUCCCCUCUAGUAGGUAUUUCUAACCAUUCUUUAUAUCUUGGUUAAACGAUGUUUUAUCUUAGAAAAAAAAUCUUUGUAAUUUUGAUUUGGAUAUACACGAUCGUUUAGAUUUGGAUACACAAUCAUUUAGAUUUGGAUAUAUACAAUCGUUUAGAUUCAGCUAUAAUGAUCGUGUACCAAAUCUAAACAAUUCUUGAAACACUAUCGUUUCGAGAUAUUUUUGGUAUUUUUCAUUGUGGGCAUAUGAAUUUUUUCAAUUUUCGAAAUUAUUCUAUACGAUGUAAAUAUUUUGACGAUUUGUUAUAUUUUUUAAAAAUUUUCUUAUAUUUUUAUAUUUUAAAAUUUAAAAUUUAAAAUAUUUAUGGAAGGAAAAAUAUAAAAAGAAUGUUGUUUUUAAAAAUUUGACUUAUUUGGAUCGAAACCAUUGGAAAACAAAAUCAAAAUCCCAGGGUUGCUAAAACAGUCAUAGCCCAUAAAUUAAAAACCAAGUUAGACUUUAAAAGUACAUUUUGUGGGUGCUUCCAAAAAAUAACAAAAACACUAUAUUUUUUAAAUUGCAAAAAUAGUAACUAAUUUUGUCAUAUUCGCCAUAUGCAAAAUAAUAGAUGUUAUGGGUUGUUUUUGCUAAACGUUUUUGACAUAUGAUGCAAUUUCUCAAUUUCUUUUUACAUUAUAAUUAUAAUUAGUUUUUGAAAAUAUUAAACGAAGAGAUAACGGUGGAAAUAACAAAUUCUUAAAUAGCAACUUGAAAAAUGGCAAAAAUCGAAAAUAAUAAGAAUUAUAGUAAGAUCAUCGACCAUCCAUUUUAAAAUUAUUUUAAAUUCGAUUAUAGCUUUUCCUAAAGGAUAAUCCAUUUAUUUCAUAUAUAGUCUAUUUGAAUAGCUCCAAAAACAUGAUAAUUCAUAAUAUAUAUAUAUAUAUAUAUAUAUAUAUAUAUAUAUAUAUAUAUAUAUAUAUAUAUAUAUGUGGCAUUUUUUAAAAUAGCAAAAUUAAUUAAAAUAUUUACAAACUGUACCAAAAUUUUGGAUUCUAUCAUUCUAUCACUAUAGCAUAUCAAUGACUAUCAGAUAGAAUUUGCUAUAGGUUGUAAAUAUUUGGUAAAAUUUACUAUUUUUAAAAAUUUCUACAUAUAUAUAUAUUAAAAAAUUAUUUGAUUUUUCAAAAUACAUAAAUGUUGAAUUUUCAUAAUAACUUAAGAAAAAUACUCAACCACUUUUAUCUUUAAAAUAAUUAUUAAUAAACUUUAAGGAAUACUAAAUAAAUAAGGUUGUUUUUAAAAUUUCUUAAAUAAAUAAGGUCAGUAAACUAUCAAAUUAAUUUCAUAUUUCUUUAAUAAAAUUCAAACAUUUAGCAAAGUUUUUAUUUUUGGUUAUUCUUAUAAUGGAUAAUUUCGUCCUCUUUUACAAUUUUUCUUUUGUUACAUGUUCUUUUGUCCUAAAGUUAUUUAAUUACAAUGUAUUUUAUAUAUCUGGGAGCGAUAUAAGUAUAACUAAUGUGUGAGUUAGGCUAUUGUAGUUUAUUAGUAUUGAAUUUAAUCUUUAGUUUGCAAUUAAAUUUUUAUAUGUUUUGAUAACUAGAAUUUAAAGACUUAUGUUCUCAUUUAGGGACAAGAUUCAUUUUGUGUUAUAUGUAAUCAUAGUUACCUUACAGAGAAUUUUCACUAUGAAAAUUGUUGUAUUCAAGUAUGGUAUAUUUUACAUACACUGUAUUUAUUUAUAUAUAGUGACACCUUCAAAAUGACUUACAAUUUAUAUAUUACAAUACAUUUAUCGUUAUUUUAAAUAUUUUGAAAUAUGCUAGUGCAUACUUAGGCACACUCGAAAUUCACCCUUUGUAUAUAUGAUAUCUACCAUUUUCUAACAAUUAUUUUUUCAUAAAUCUAGAUUUUUUACUACAUAGACAAUUUUUGUUAUAUACUUUUACUUGUUUUAACGACUAAGCCAAAACUUGAAAACUAGAAAACAACUUUUAAAAUUUUGCUUUUGUGUUUUGGAAUUUUGCUAAUAAUUCAGCCACUAUACAAGAAAUAUGCAAAACAUUAUAACAGAUGGAGAGAAAAUAUACUUAAAUUUUUUAAAGAAAGAUUAACGAAUGAAAACCUACUUUCUCAUAUUCACUUGGUUAAAAGUAAACGUGUUCUUAAAAUUAAGAAGAAAGAUAAAAAAAAAAAAAAAAGGUGUUGCAACAAUAAAUAAUAAUACUAUUUCAUACUCUCCAAAUAAAUUGUCUUUAUUAAUCGUCGCAUGCUGAAAUACCUAUUGGUACCCCUAGUAAUAGGAUAAUUCAUAUAUUCAAAGUACAGUGUAUUUGAAUGUCUCCAAGAUGAGGCAUAAUAUCGCAGAUUUCACAAAGACAUUGUAUUUUGCAAACAACGUUCAAAUUUAACAAAUUCUAACUAAAUCUGUUAUUUUGUUGUUUGAAAAGAUUUCAGGAAAGUUCCCUAAAUAAUGCCAAAUAUAUCUACAAGAUUUUCAAGUUUGUUAUAUUUUAAACAAUUUAUAACAAUAUCAGUAAUUAUUAUUUACAUAAUAUAUAUUUUUAAUAACAAUUUGAAAUAUAUUUUAGAUUAGAUUCCUUAAUUUCGGCAUAAAUUAUUUUUUAUUGCCUUUUAUUUUUAAAAAAUCUACUUUGGUGGCAACACAAAUUACGUUUUGAUGAACAAGCUACUUAGCAAGAAGAAAAUCUUUUGUUUUGUGUGUAUGAAGAAUUUGAAGGCUUUGAAGGGGAAGAAGCUUGAAGCUCAAAUCUUCUCUAAUGGAAGACUUUGAAAAGGACCAAGAGUUUCAAUAAUCUUUUUAGGUGGAAUCUACAAAAGCAGAAGAUAGGGAAGCGAAAGAUGGGGAAGUUGUAAUCUUUUUAGCUUUGAAGAGUUUCAAUGGUUUCAAGAUGUAUGCACGAUGAAGAAGAUGUGAAACAAAUGUAGAGAUUAUGUGGAACUUUGAUGAUGAUAGGUGUUAUUUUUUGGGUUUUUGGAGAAAAUAUAAUUUUGAUAGGUUUUAAUUGUGUGUGAAGAGUUUCAUUUAAUUCUAAGGUAUUUGUUGUUUAUUGAAUAAUUGUAUUUAGAAUUCAAGUUUUUCACUUAGGUAGGGGCAUUUAAGACAUUGUUCAAGUAAUUCUUUUUCAUAUUUUUUUGUUUUGCUAUUUUAUUAAUUUAAAUAAAAA
RNAcentral lists this long non-coding RNA (5026 nucleotides) under Cucumis sativus (cucumber). RNAcentral's name for it is "long non-coding RNA (CSAT_LNC002322)". The record is from RNAcentral. Lineage: Eukaryota; Viridiplantae; Streptophyta; Magnoliopsida; Cucurbitales; Cucurbitaceae.